UUUCCGUAGGUGAACCUGCGGAAGGAUCAUUACCGAGUGAGGGCCCUCUGGGUCCAACCUCCCACCCGUGUUUAUUGUACCUUGUUGCUUCGGCGGGCCCGCCUCACGGCCGCCGGGGGGCACCCGCCCCCGGGCCCGCGCCCGCCGAAGACACCAUUGAACGCUGUCUGAAGAUUGCAGUCUGAGCAUCUUAGCUAAAUCAGUUAAAACUUUCAACAACGGAUCUCUUGGUUCCG
This 236-nucleotide unclassified non-coding RNA is filed under the name plant metagenome. RNAcentral's name for it is "partial contains small subunit ribosomal RNA, internal transcribed spacer 1, and 5.8S ribosomal RNA". The record is from RNAcentral.